CGCCACUUCGCAUGCGUACUCUCACACACUAGUGUUUCUCUUAGCUUACCUUGCCUUCACUACCUCUCUUGCACAUGUGCGCAACACACACACUUAGUUUAUAGGUGAUGAAGGAAAUUCUGGAUGAUUCUUAAAAUGCCGGUGAUGAAGAAUUCUCAAAGCUUUCUUGAAUGGCGGUUGUGAAGCUUCUCCAAACCACCUGAAUUUUCUGCAAGCUUAAAGAAAUUUCUAGAUAAAGAGAGGCGGGGGUGAUUCUUUAAUAAUUAACAACUCUGUUUCUUUGCAAUAAACCCAUCAUUAUUAGCUUGUAAUUGAGGAUGUUGAGGCUUUAUUGCUUGCUAAUUCUUAUGCUAAAUUUAGCAUUACCAGUCUUAUCUGUUGAUACGUAUAGCAAAGAGGACUUCCCUUUUGGUGCUGCUACCUCUGCUUAUCAGGUGGAAGGAGCAGCACGUGAGGAUGGUAGGAGUCCCAGCGUUUGGGAUACCUUUUCUCGUGGAGGAGGAGAUGUGGCAGUUGAUGAGUAUCACAAAUACAAGGAAGAUGUCCAACUUAUGGCUGAAACUGGAUUAGGUGCCUAUAGAUUUUCCAUCUCAUGGGCUAGGCUUAUCCCAAAUGGAAGAGGACCUGUCAAUCCAAAGGGCUUACGGUAUUACAACAACCUCAUCAAUGAACUUAUUAGCCAUGGCAUCCAAGCACAUGUUUUAUUAUACAAUUAUGAUCAUCCACAAUCACUUGAAGAUGAAUAUGGAGGAUGGCUUAGCAGAAACAUUGUGAGAGACUUCACAGCUUAUGCAGAUGUGUGCUUCAGAGAAUUUGGUGAUAGGGUUUCAUCUUGGUCUACCAUAAAUGAGCCCAACAUCUUUGCAAAUGGUGGUUAUGACCAGGGAGUAGUGCCGCCGGGAAGAUGUUCUUAUCCAUUUGGAUUAUGGAACUGCUCCAAAGGCAACUCCUCCACGGAGCCAUACUUGGCAGCUCAUAAUAUGUUGUUGGCGCAUGCAUCAACUGUAAGAUUGUACAAGGAUAGAUAUCAGAGCAAGCAAAAUGGAGUUAUAGAUUAUUUGAACAUCAAACAUAUACUAACUCAACAGAGGAUGAAACUGCUGCACAAAGAGCCAUGGACUUCUUAAUUGGUUGGUUUGUAAAUCCCCUGGUGUUUGGAGACUAUCCUGAAGUAAUGAAAAAAAAUGCAGGUUCAAGACUUCCAGUCCUUACUGAUCAAGAAUCCAAAUUGGUAAAGGGAGCAUUUGACUUCCUAGGACUGAUACAUUACACUACAGUUUACAUCAAGGAUAACUCCAAAAUUCUGAAAACGGAGAAUAGAGAUUUCAAUGCAGACAUGGCAGUAACUAUCUCGUUCACACAAGAUGAAGAUGAUCCAUUCGGAUUAUUCCCAGUAGAGUAUCCUCAAAGGCCUUGGGGUCUGCAAGGAUUAUUGGAGUAUCUUAAGCAAGCUUAUGGCAAUCCUCCUGUUUACAUCCACGAAAAUGGGCAAGUGAGCCGGCGCAAUUCUUCAUUGGAUGACACUUCAAGGGUGGAAUAUCUGCAUGCAUAUAUUGGUAGUUUGCUCGACGCAAUCAGGAAUGGAUCAAAUACGAGAGGGUAUUUCGUAUGGUCCUUUUUAGAUGUAUUCGAGUUAUUGGAUGGCAGAGGAUCAAGUUAUGGCCUGUAUUUCGUAGAUUUGGACGAUCCAAGCUUGAGAAGACUACCCAAGAAAUCUGCACAUUGGUACUCCCAUUUUCUGAAAGGAGGCAGGGUCAGCUCCAGCAGAACUCUUGAACUUGAGAAAACAUUUGGCGACUCUUCCUCAGAAACACUUGUUUCAAUAGGGUAAAAUCCAUAGAUUAUUAGAUGCUUUCAUUAUAUGUGUACGUUUUCCUCAUAAAUAUGUAGAGUCUGCUUUACACAGGAAGACUCAUGUUUUUGUGAGAAAAGGAGCUUUAUUUUCAUUUUCAGGAGUCCUUAAAAUGUUUUGUGUAAUUUUCAAUAAAAAGUUCCUAGUACUUUGUUUAUAAGCAAAUUGGAAUGUAACAGUAUGAACAAGAGAAUUUACUAAUUU
Molecule: unclassified non-coding RNA, 2056 nt
Filed under: Hevea brasiliensis (rubber tree)
Lineage: Eukaryota; Viridiplantae; Streptophyta; Magnoliopsida; Malpighiales; Euphorbiaceae
Source: RNAcentral